RNAcentral lists this ribosomal RNA (566 nucleotides) under Fusarium oxysporum. RNAcentral's name for it is "eukaryotic LSU rRNA". The stretch from base 204 to 357 matches the Rfam family "5.8S ribosomal RNA". Lineage: Eukaryota; Fungi; Ascomycota; Sordariomycetes; Hypocreales; Nectriaceae. The record is from RNAcentral.
UGGAAGUAAAAGUCGUAACAAGGUCUCCGUUGGUGAACCAGCGGAGGGAUCAUUACCGAGUUUACAACUCCCAAACCCCUGUGAACAUACCACUUGUUGCCUCGGCGGAUCAGCCCGCUCCCGGUAAAACGGGACGGCCCGCCAGAGGACCCCUAAACUCUGUUUCUAUAUGUAACUUCUGAGUAAAACCAUAAAUAAAUCAAAACUUUCAACAACGGAUCUCUUGGUUCUGGCAUCGAUGAAGAACGCAGCAAAAUGCGAUAAGUAAUGUGAAUUGCAGAAUUCAGUGAAUCAUCGAAUCUUUGAACGCACAUUGCGCCCGCCAGUAUUCUGGCGGGCAUGCCUGUUCGAGCGUCAUUUCAACCCUCAAGCACAGCUUGGUGUUGGGACUCGCGUUAAUUCGCGUUCCUCAAAUUGAUUGGCGGUCACGUCGAGCUUCCAUAGCGUAGUAGUAAAACCCUCGUUACUGGUAAUCGUCGCGGCCACGCCGUUAAACCCCAACUUCUGAAUGUUGACCUCGGAUCAGGUAGGAAUACCCGCUGAACUUAAGCAUAUCAAUAAGCGGA